AGUGAACGCUGGCGGUAGGCCUAACACAUGCAAUUCGAACGGCAGCACAGUAAGAGCUUGCUCUUACGGGUGGCGAGUGGCGGACGGGUGAGGAAUACAUCGGAAUCUACUUUUUCGUGGUGGCUAACGUAGGGCAACUUACGCUAAUACCGCAUACGACCUACGGGUGAAAGCAGGGGAUCUUCGGACCUUGCGCGAUUUAAUGAGCCGAUGUCGGCUUAGCUAGUUGGCGGGGUAAAGGCCCACCAAGGCGACGAUCCGUAGCUGGUCUGAGAGGAUGGCCAGCCACAAUGGAAAGGGGAAACGGCCCAAAACCCUAGGGGAGGAAGAAGUGGGGAAUAUUGGAAAAUGGGGGAAAGCCUGAGCCAGCCAUACCGGGGGGGGGAAGAAGGCCUUCGGGUUGUAAAGCCCUUUUGUUGGGAAAGAAAAGCAGCAGGUUAAUACCCCGCUGUUCUGACGGUACCCAAAGAAUAAGCACCGGCUAACUUCGU
This 491-nucleotide ribosomal RNA is filed under the name uncultured bacterium. RNAcentral's name for it is "partial 16S ribosomal RNA". It matches the Rfam family "Bacterial small subunit ribosomal RNA", at positions 29 to 506 of the family's 1533-position model. The record is from RNAcentral.